AGCAGUAGCCGCGGGAAUACGUAGGUGGCAAGCGUUGUCCGGAAUUAUUGGGCGUAAAGGGCUCGCAGGCGGUUUCUUAAGUCUGAUGUGAAAGCCCCCGGCUCAACCGGGGAGGGUCAUUGGAAACUGGGAAACUUGAGUGCAGAAGAGGAGAGUGGAAUUCCACGUGUAGCGGUGAAAUGCGUAGAGAUGUGGAGGAACACCAGUGGCGAAGGCGGCCAUCUGGGACAACACUGACGCUGAGGCACGAAAGCGUGGGGAGCAAACAGGAUUAGAGACCCGUGUAGUCCCUGUCUCUUAUAC
RNAcentral lists this ribosomal RNA (303 nucleotides) under uncultured bacterium. Its description in RNAcentral is "partial 16S ribosomal RNA". It matches the Rfam family "Bacterial small subunit ribosomal RNA", at positions 507 to 807 of the family's 1533-position model. The record is from RNAcentral.